CAACCGGGGGCGGGGCCUGAUGCCCUGAGCUCCGCCCUCCGGCCCCCUGCAGCCAGCUUUGGGGGGGCCUUGGUGAGGCUGCAGAAGAGAAGUUGGGGGCCCUGUGGCUGGGGGUAGAGCUGGGGUAGCCUCUUUUCUUUUUUCCUGUGCUUUCGGUGCGGUCCACCUCCAGGAGGCCUGACAAGCUGCUGAACGUCAGUCAGGACCUGUCAAGCACAGUCAUUUAAGACAGCUGCCUGACGGAGCUCAUGACAGCUGAUCUUAGGGACCAGACACCCAGGAAAGGAGUUUAGGGUGGAGGAUUUCUGUGGGCAGAACUCAAGGAUCUUGAACCUCAGAGUUAUAAGCCACUUCAGAGGGCCCCUGACCCAGCCUGCUCCUGAACAGGAGUUCUCUCUACCAUGUUUGCAACCAAUGGCCAGUCACCCUCUGUCUGAAGACUUCUUGUAAGAGGAUGCCCGCACUUCUUCCUAAGGCAGCUCAUUCCACUUUGGGCCAGUUUUAAUUUUGCCUUUCAUGGAGCUCAAAUCUGCCCACUGUCUGUAACCUUCUGCCAUUUCUGCCAGUUCUCCCCCCUGGGGCCAAGCAGAGCAUGUGUAACCCUUCUUCCAUGUUGCAGCCCCUCAGAUGCUUGAAGACUGCUCUCAUGUCCUUCGUGGAGUCAUCUUCUCCAGGCCAGUCCUCCCAAGUUCCAGACAACAGUGCUUCUGUGGUCCUACCUUCACCAUCCAGUCAUCCUCCUCUGGAUGCCCUGCCCUGGUUUAUCAACAUCCUUCCUGGAAUACGGCCCCAGAACUGAAUUUAGUACUAGGGACAUGAUCUGACCAGAAAAGCAAGGGACAGUGGGACUGCAAUCACUUCCCUAGUUCUAGCCAUCUUCUCUUCCUUUAAGUGUCAUUCCAGGUGCCAGCUCCUCCUUCAAACCCUCCCUGACUCUCCACCUCAGGAUUCUUUCUAUCCUCAAAUGUCCCCGGAGCAUCUUGGAUAGUUCUUUCCUUUGUCACUAUCAUAUUCUACCUUAUCUCAUACUUAGCUAUGUAAAUGUUAUUUUCCCCUGCCAAAUCAUAAGCUCCCUGAAAGCAGAGACUGU
Molecule: long non-coding RNA, 1090 nt
Organism: Phascolarctos cinereus (koala)
Lineage: Eukaryota; Metazoa; Chordata; Mammalia; Diprotodontia; Phascolarctidae
Source: RefSeq, a predicted model, not a curated record